UACGAAGGGGGCUAGCGUUGUUCGGAAUUACUGGGCGUAAAGCGCACGUAGGCGGCGCAGCAAGUUUGGGGUGAAAUCCCGAGGCUCAACCUCGGAAUUGCCUUCAAAACUGCUGUGCUCGAGUUCGGAAGAGGUGAGUGGAAUUCCCAGUGUAGAGGUGAAAUUCGUAGAGAUUGGGAAGAACACCAGUGGCGAAGGCGGCUCACUGGCCCGGUACUGACGCUGAGGCGCGAAAGCGUGGGGAGCAAACAGG
Molecule: ribosomal RNA, 253 nt
Filed under: uncultured bacterium
Lineage: Bacteria
Description: partial 16S ribosomal RNA
Rfam family: Bacterial small subunit ribosomal RNA
Source: RNAcentral